This 484-nucleotide ribosomal RNA is filed under the name uncultured bacterium. Its description in RNAcentral is "partial 16S ribosomal RNA". It matches the Rfam family "Bacterial small subunit ribosomal RNA", at positions 29 to 507 of the family's 1533-position model. The record is from RNAcentral.
AUUGAACGCUAGCGGCAUGCUUUACACAUGCAAGUCGAACGGCAGCGCGGGCUUCGGCCUGGCGGCGAGUGGCGAACGGGUGAGUAAUACAUCGGAACGUGCCCAGUAGUGGGGGAUAGCUCGGCGAAAGCCGGAUUAAUACCGCAUACGACCUGAGGGUGAAAGCGGGGGAUCUUCGGACCUCGCGCUAUUGGAGCGGCCGAUGGCAGAUUAGCUAGUUGGUGGGGUAAAGGCCUACCAAGGCGACGAUCUGUAGCUGGUCUGAGAGGACGACCAGCCACACUGGGACUGAGACACGGCCCAGACUCCUACGGGAGGCAGCAGUGGGGAAUUUUGGACAAUGGGCGAAAGCCUGAUCCAGCAAUGCCGCGUGUGUGAUGAAGGCCUUCGGGUUGUAAAGCACUUUUGGCGGGAACGAAAAGGACUGUGCCAAUACCACGGUUCGAUGACGGUACCCGCAGAAUAAGCACCGGCUAACUACGUG